UCACACUUAUGAAAAUUAAUCUUACGGCCGGAGAGCUUUUUGAGGGUACAUAUUACUAGCUUUAAGUUUUUGGCCUGCUCUAGAUCAUUUUUCAUAAAGAGAAUUGUAUGAUCGGCGUAUUGAAGAAUUGAUAAUCCUCCAUCUAAUAGAUGAGGCACUAGGCCCCUAAUUGAUCAUUAUCUCUAGCUCUUGAAAUGAGAAUUGC
Molecule: long non-coding RNA, 205 nt
Filed under: Setaria italica (foxtail millet)
Lineage: Eukaryota; Viridiplantae; Streptophyta; Magnoliopsida; Poales; Poaceae
Description: long non-coding RNA (SITA_LNC002389)
Source: RNAcentral